This 253-nucleotide ribosomal RNA is filed under the name uncultured bacterium. RNAcentral's name for it is "partial 16S ribosomal RNA". It matches the Rfam family "Bacterial small subunit ribosomal RNA", at positions 524 to 776 of the family's 1533-position model. The record is from RNAcentral.
UACGGAGGGUGCAAGCGUUAUCCGGAUUCACUGGGCUUAAAGGGUGCGUAGGCGGGCAGGUAAGUCCGUGGUGAAAUCUCUGAGCUUAACUCAGAAACUGCCAUGGAUACUAUUUGUCUUGAAUGUUGUGGAGGUAAGCGGAAUAUGUCAUGUAGCGGUGAAAUGCUUAGAUAUGACAUAGAACACCAAUUGCGAAGGCAGCUUACUGGACAAAUAUUGACGCUGAGGCACGAAAGCGUGGGGAGCAAACAGG